Molecule: ribosomal RNA, 478 nt
Filed under: uncultured bacterium
Lineage: Bacteria
Description: partial 16S ribosomal RNA
Rfam family: Bacterial small subunit ribosomal RNA
Source: RNAcentral
GACGAACGCUGGCGGCGUGCUUAACACAUGCAAGUCGAGCGAUGAAGCUCCUUCGGGAGUGGAUUAGCGGCGGACGGGUGAGUAACACGUGGGUAACCUGCCUCAUAGAGGGGAAUAGCCUUUCGAAAGGAAGAUUAAUACCGCAUAAGAUUGUAGUAUCGCAUGAUACAGCAAUUAAAGGAGUAAUCCGCUAUGAGAUGGACCCGCGUCGCAUUAGCUAGUUGGUGAGGUAACGGCUCACCAAGGCGACGAUGCGUAGCCGACCUGAGAGGGUGAUCGGCCACAUUGGGACUGAGACACGGCCCAGACUCCUACGGGAGGCAGCAGUGGGGAAUAUUGCACAAUGGGGGAAACCCUGAUGCAGCAACGCCGCGUGAGUGAUGACGGUCUUCGGAUUGUAAAGCUCUGUCUUCAGGGACGAUAAUGACGGUACCUGAGGAGGAAGCCACGGCUAACUACGUGCCAGCCGCCGCUGUAA